RNAcentral lists this long non-coding RNA (1046 nucleotides) under Taeniopygia guttata (zebra finch). RNAcentral describes it as "lncRNA (ENSTGUG00000021624.1)". Lineage: Eukaryota; Metazoa; Chordata; Aves; Passeriformes; Estrildidae. The record is from RNAcentral.
UUAUCUGGGGGUUCAGCAGCCCCAGCCCCAGCACUGCCAGAAGUUAGUGUUUGUGGGAUGGAGGCUGGAGAUUUGCAAGUGUUGGAGUGUGAGGAGGAGGCUGCUGCUGGUAGGGAAGAGGGAUCUGUGGCUGGUGCCUGACCAGACAGGAGUCAGGCAGCAGACAAAGCACAAGGGUACAGUUUGGCGCUAGAGGAGCUACAGGAUUUGGGAGCUAACAGGAUCCCAGCUGUGUGUUUAAAGGCUUGCUGGAUUCUGGAAAGCAAAGCAACCACAAUACAAGUGGGCUGCAGGGUUAUGGGUAAACCUAGAGAUAAAUGUGGGAGUGCUGUCAGAGGCUGUGAAACAGAGACUAUAUAGUCCCAAGAUUUUAUUCCGUGUUAUCUGUCUCCUGGUGGUUCAAAUAAAAGUGAUGCCUGUCCUUAAAAAUAAUUUCCAGCAGAAGCAGUAAAGUAACAGGAAAACCUUGUUGCUCAGUGCAGCAGGGUAACUUGUGGGCGUAGCGUCCCUCAUGUCACAGUAAAGGUGAGCUGGUCAUUAUUUUCUGUGGGCUUGCAUUCACAGGGCUUUGAGGGGGCAGGAGGAAAUAAUGGCAGGAUUUAUGGGCUGUUCUUCCUGCCCAGUUCAGUACAAUGCCUUGUUUCCCUGAGGUGGCCCAGUGCAGCCCCAUGCAAAGAUGAGCCACAAGCCUCCUUCCAAUACUUUCACUGUGGGAGCAGUGGCACUGGCUGCUGUCAGGGCUGGCAUCUGCAAUUCCAAUCAAGAGGAGCUGAAAUUCUCCCUCAUUAUGAUGGUGUGGCUUUGUAGUUUCCUGACUGACACUUUAAAAGCUAUUUAUUGCUAAAACAUAGCACGGCAGAGGAACUCAUGAAAUAUUAAUUAAGACUGUCACAUAGAUAUCAAUUGGAAUAAAUUGCUUGUUCUGAUGCAGCUAGUUGGUAUUUCUGUGAGGUAUUUCUGCACUGAUUGAAAUGUUGAAAGUGAAACAUUAUAAUUGAGAUAGUUUUGUCUUUAUUUGCCAAAUCACUUGUUGCUUUGAAGCCUGC